Molecule: signal recognition particle RNA, 266 nt
Filed under: Clostridium fermenticellae
Lineage: Bacteria; Bacillati; Bacillota; Clostridia; Eubacteriales; Clostridiaceae
Description: signal recognition particle sRNA large type
Rfam family: Bacterial large signal recognition particle RNA
About the family: The signal recognition particle (SRP) is a universally conserved ribonucleoprotein involved in the co-translational targeting of proteins to membranes. Archaeal SRP consists of a 7S RNA and homologues of the eukaryotic SRP19 and SRP54 proteins.
Source: RNAcentral
UCGUGCUAGAUGGGGAGUUAGCGGUGCCCUGUAGCCUGCAAUCCGCUAUAGCAGGGUUGAAUCCCUCACAGAGAUUGCAAAAUGUGAGGUCUGGCCCAUAAAAGUGGCGUUGAGAGUUGGGUCCCACGCAAUAAAAACUCAUGAACUCCGUCAGAUCCGGAAGGAAGCAGCGGUAAGUGAUAAUUUUUGUGUGCCGUGGAUAAACCUGAUUUGAGUUAACUAUAUGGGUAACGCUUAUAGUUUGUAAAUCGAAGUGAGGUGCACGA